ACAAAAGGUAUCAACUUUAAAGAACCGAUUGACAUGUGUUAUUAUAAAAACAUCACGAAAUCGGCAUGUUUAGAAAACAAUAUGUCUCUUAUGAAAAAAACAAAUUGAAGGUUUAUCAAAAGAAUGAAAAACAUGCAAUCUAAUGAAAUAUUUGUUAUUUUCAGGAUAAGAUUGUUUAUUUUCGUUUUGUUGGUCAGCGUUUACAGCUGUGUCCAUGCAAGUCCUGGGUCAGAUUUUUUAGGAAUCCUCGCUUGGACAAAUGGAGUUGACCUUGAAACAGUUCACACUCGCGAAGAAGCAUGCCAAUACAAAGAAGGUACAGAUUUCAACUUAGAAGAUUGCAUAAACGCAGUAAUUGAUAAGGUUUGUUCCGGGAAUUGCAACGGAAGAGGUCGGGAUGUUGUUUCAGCUGUUAUCUGGCAAGCCGUGUUGCAAGCCUCGGCUGAUGAUUUUUGUGCAAAAGCAGAAGAUGAAGAGGGUUGCGUCUGGCUGUUAUCUGAAUCAAAAGAUUGCGAGGACAAACGAUCGUUUAAUAUCAAAAAGUCUUCUGGAUCAGGACACGAUCUUCCACAGCUGCCACCAAAACCCAGUGAGAAGAGGAGCUUGAAUUUCGACAACUUGAAAAAUGCUCUCAAGUCAAACAGAGGUAGAAGUGGUUUAUUAAGGAAAAUGCUGAAUAUCAAAAAAUAACAUUGACGAGACUAUAGUGGACCCUGACGACCAAUAAACUGCGACACGGACAAUGAUUGUAUUGAUUGUAAUAAUAUUUUGGGGGACAUUUUGAAGGGGACUACAAAAAUACAGGGCUACUUUUGAUAACUGUAUGUGAUUUUAAAUUAAAAUGAAAUAGUUUUAAAGGCAUUUGUUUAAUUUAGUGUUUUUUAAGUUGAGAGAACAUGUAUUUUUAACAUGUUCAAUUGUGACGAAAAACUACAACAAACACACAAAAUGUAAAAAAAUCAUUAGCGUAGAAACGAACAAAAUCGAUUGGUUAUCUAUAUGAGAUGUGUAUAGUUUUGACAUUGAGUAUCAUUAAACAAUUGAAGAAGGUGAUAUGAUAUUUUCUUCAAAUUUUAACUGAUGCCUGAUACAAAAACUGUUAAUUUCAUAUUUGCUGAAUACAAAAAUAAAUGAGUGAAAACAUUAAGCUGAGAACUCGAG
This 1161-nucleotide long non-coding RNA is filed under the name Mytilus galloprovincialis (Mediterranean mussel). The record is from RNAcentral. Lineage: Eukaryota; Metazoa; Mollusca; Bivalvia; Mytilida; Mytilidae.